This 206-nucleotide unclassified non-coding RNA is filed under the name Hevea brasiliensis (rubber tree). The record is from RNAcentral. Lineage: Eukaryota; Viridiplantae; Streptophyta; Magnoliopsida; Malpighiales; Euphorbiaceae.
UCCAAUUUAAACUUUUUGGUCUAAUUAACCCAAAAUUCUUAGAAUUAAAACAAUUAACUUCAAUUCAAUUUGACCAAGUAAGCAUAGCCUACUUUACAUGCACUUUUUUUUCAAAGAAUAAAACAUAUAUAUAACAAUAAGAAAUAUAAGAAAUCGCAAGGCAAUGUUGCUCGAUUAAGUUGAUUUAGUGUAUUAGUUGUCCCGAG